UGGGGAAUAUUGCACAAUGGGCGCAAGCCUGAUGCAGCAACGCCGCUUGAGCGAAGACGGCGUUGGGGUUGUAAACAUGGCUUAGUAGGGAAGAAGGAAAGUGACGGUACCUGCAGAAAAAGCACCGCAUAAUUACGCA
This 139-nucleotide ribosomal RNA is filed under the name uncultured Microbacteriaceae bacterium. Its description in RNAcentral is "partial 16S ribosomal RNA". It matches the Rfam family "Bacterial small subunit ribosomal RNA", at positions 355 to 507 of the family's 1533-position model. The record is from RNAcentral. Lineage: Bacteria; Bacillati; Actinomycetota; Actinomycetes; Micrococcales; Microbacteriaceae.